CCUGUGAACAUACCUUUUGUUGCCUCGGCGGGAUCGCCCCGGCGCCCGCCGCAGGACCCUAAACUCUUGUUUUCUAUAUGAAUCUUCUGAGUGACACAAGCAAAUAAAUUAAAACUUUCAACAACGGAUCUCUUGGUUCUGGCAUCGAUGAAGAACGCAGCGAAAUGCGAUAAGUAAUGUGAAUUGCAGAAUUCAGUGAAUCAUCGAAUCUUUGAACGCACAUUGCGCCCGGCAGUAUUCUGCCGGGCAUGCCUGUUCGAGCGUCAUUUCAACCCUCAAGCCCCCGGGCUUGGUGUUGGAGAUCGGCCCGCCCCCGUGGCAGGCCGGCUCCGAAAUCUAGUGGCGGUCCCGCUGUAACUUCCUCUGCGUAGUAGCAAUAUCUCGCACCGGAAAGCGACGGAGCCUUGCCGUAAAACCCCCAACUUCUGAAGGUUGACCUCGGAUCAGGUAGGAAUACCCGCUGAACUUAAGCAUAUCAAUA
This 481-nucleotide ribosomal RNA is filed under the name Xenoacremonium sp. BF-2018a. RNAcentral describes it as "eukaryotic LSU rRNA". The stretch from base 113 to 266 matches the Rfam family "5.8S ribosomal RNA". Lineage: Eukaryota; Fungi; Ascomycota; Sordariomycetes; Hypocreales; Nectriaceae. The record is from RNAcentral.